This 482-nucleotide ribosomal RNA is filed under the name uncultured bacterium. Its description in RNAcentral is "partial 16S ribosomal RNA". It matches the Rfam family "Bacterial small subunit ribosomal RNA", at positions 30 to 507 of the family's 1533-position model. The record is from RNAcentral.
AUUGAACGCUGGCGGCAUGCCUUACACAUGCAAGUCGAACGGUAACGGGCCUUCGGGUGCCGACGAGUGGCGAACGGGUGAGUAAUACAUCGGAACGUGCCCGAUCGUGGGGGAUAACGAGGCGAAAGCUUUGCUAAUACCGCAUACGAUCUACGGAUGACAGCAGGGGACCGCAAGGCCUUGCGCGGACGGAGCGGCCGAUGGCAGAUUAGGUAGUUGGUGGGAUAAAAGCUUACCAAGCCGACGAUCUGUAGCUGGUCUGAGAGGAUGAUCAGCCACACUGGGACUGAGACACGGCCCAGACUCCUACGGGAGGCAGCAGUGGGGAAUUUUGGACAAUGGGCACAAGCCUGAUCCAGCCAUGCCGCGUGCAGGAUGAAGGCCUUCGGGUUGUAAACUGCUUUUGUACGGAACGAAAAGCCUUCUUUUAAUACGGGAGGGUCAUGACGGUACCGUAAGAAUAAGCACCGGCUAACUACGUG